RNAcentral lists this unclassified non-coding RNA (144 nucleotides) under uncultured Capnodiales. RNAcentral's name for it is "sequence contains ITS1". Lineage: Eukaryota; Fungi; Ascomycota; Dothideomycetes; Capnodiales. The record is from RNAcentral.
CUGAGUGAGGGCCUCUGGCCCGACCUCCCACCCUAUGUUGUUUGACUAUGUUGCCUCGGGGGCGACCCGGCCUUUUCGGUCGGGGCCCCCGGUGGACUCUUAAACUCUGCAUCUUAGCGUCUGAGUAUAAAGUUAAAUCAAUCA